This 66-nucleotide transfer RNA is filed under the name Spongiocaris panglao. RNAcentral's name for it is "tRNA-Glu". The record is from RNAcentral. Lineage: Eukaryota; Metazoa; Arthropoda; Malacostraca; Decapoda; Spongicolidae.
GUUAUUAUAGUGUAAACCAUAAACACAUUACUUUUUCACUGUAAAAAUAAAGAAAUUUUAAAAACU